Molecule: transfer RNA, 76 nt
Filed under: Nitrososphaera sp.
Lineage: Archaea; Thermoproteati; Nitrososphaerota; Nitrososphaeria; Nitrososphaerales; Nitrososphaeraceae
Also listed under: 1 other name
Description: tRNA-Glu
Rfam family: tRNA
About the family: Transfer RNA (tRNA) molecules are approximately 80 nucleotides in length.
Source: RNAcentral
GCUCCGGUGGUGUAGUCCGGUUAAGCAUCUCGCCCUCUCAAGGCGAAGAUCACGGGUUCAAAUCCCGUCCGGAGCA